This 252-nucleotide ribosomal RNA is filed under the name uncultured bacterium. Its description in RNAcentral is "partial 16S ribosomal RNA". It matches the Rfam family "Bacterial small subunit ribosomal RNA", at positions 524 to 776 of the family's 1533-position model. The record is from RNAcentral.
GACGAAGGGGGCUAGCGUUGUUCGGAAUUACUGGGCGUAAAGCGAGUGUAGGUGGUUGUCCAAGUUGGAUGUGGAAGCCUUGAGCUCAACUCAAGAAAUGCAUUCAGGACUGGGCGGCUAGAGGACCGGAGAGGAUAGUGGAAUUCCCAGUGUAGUGGUGAAAUACGUAGAGAUUGGGAAGAACACCAGUGGCGAAGGCGGCUAUCUGGACGGUUCUGACACUAAGACUCGAAAGCGUGGGGAGCAAACAGG